GAGGCGUGCAAGGGCUGUCGCUGACUUUUAACGCAAAAGUCGUGCACGCCGGAGCGUGUCCUCUCACAUAAAAUCCAUCUCACCCUUUUGUGCACCACCGCGUGGGCACCCUUCGGGAUCAAACCGAUCCCGGAGGGGGCUUGCGUUUUCACACAAACCCCUUCUUAAAAGUGUAGAAUGUCCUCAUUUUUGCGAUAACACGCAAUCAAUACAACUUUCAACAACGGAUCUCUUGGCUCUCGCAUCGAUGAAGAACGCAGCGAAAUGCGAUACGUAAUGUGAAUUGCAGAAUUCAGUGAAUCAUCGAAUCUUUGAACGCACCUUGCGCCCCUUGGUAUUCCGAGGGGCACACCCGUUUGAGUGUCGUGAAAAUCUCAACCUUCUCGGUUUCUUCUGGACACCGAAGGAGGCUUGGACUUUGGAGGCCUUUGCUGGCAUCUCUCUCUUUUGAGAGCCAGCUCCUCUUAAAUGAAUUAGCGGGGUCCUCUUUGCUGGUCCUCGACAUGUGAUAAGAUGUUUCCAUGUCUUGGNCUCUGGCUCUGUUGCUUUUGGGACCCGCUUCUAACCGUCUCAACGAGACAAUGUUUGAGCGUGUCUCCCUUCUCGGGAGACCCUCUCAACCUCACGAACCCUUGA
Molecule: ribosomal RNA, 636 nt
Filed under: uncultured Lactarius
Lineage: Eukaryota; Fungi; Basidiomycota; Agaricomycetes; Russulales; Russulaceae
Description: eukaryotic LSU rRNA
Rfam family: 5.8S ribosomal RNA (bases 213-366)
Source: RNAcentral